CAGACUGAGGGCGAAACAGCAGGCAGGACUGGGUGGAGACGUUCGGGGACGUGGCAACUGGAGUUUCUUCUCCGUAUAUUUCGGCAUUCAGUUCCUUUUUUUUUUUGUUUUAACUCAGGAAAAAAUCUCAAUUGCGUUUAGUAUUUUGAAAGCCACUUUAUUGCUUCCCGAGCCUCAGUCAUGUGUGGUGGGAGGCUGCUGUGGGUGGCACCUGGGGCGUCCACGGCCGCCAAGGCGGGAGGACGUCAGGCCCUGCUUGCUCCCACCCCUUCCAGGUGAGAGCUCCCGGGCACGCCCGUCGUUGGCUCUUCGUCCUCUUGGUGUUCUUCCCUGUUGCUUCAAAUCAGGUUCCUGUCUCAAAAAUCCGAAAAAGAAAUCCUCCCAAAUGACUCUGUGCCCGACGCUCCGUUAAGGCAUCGUGCUAGGCGUUCUCAAACUCGUGAAAUGACUACACUGCACAGGUUAACCUCAUUGCUACUCUUCCCCUUGCCUCCUAAUUCUCUGGUUAAACUUCCGCCCCCGAGGUUUCUAGAAAUCCCUGAGCUGGAAUGCGCUGCCUUCAUUAAGAGGGUGUUCUGCUUCCGUCUGCUCACAUUCAUCUAGUAAGCCCUCUCGUUAAAGAGGAGGCAGCACACCGAGGCCUGUCUAGAACUUCUUUCAUUUAACCAACAGUGAAUAUCUAAUCUACAAGAAACUGGAGCCGUGGCAGUUUAGGAGCCUGCCAAGGUUGCAUCCCUGGGAGCUUAUUUUCUAUUGUGGGAGACAGGAAAAGAACAAGUGAAUCAACUGUGAAAUUAAAUAAUUCAAACUUAAAGCUGUUGGAACUUUAAAUUAUUCUGAGCCUUGCGAAGAAUGUGGCGAUGGGGCCUGAGUCCCAUGGCAUACAGCUGCAAUGUCUGCCUUGUUUUUUCCUAUAAUCAGGAAGACCAAACAGAGACAGAGUUCUGGUUAAAUCACACAAGUCCCUGGCAUGAGACCAAGAAGUCACAGAGCCCAGGUCUUAGCCCUCAGAGUGUGAGAGAAGACAUGAAGGCAUCAGGGACACUGUGCGAGUGGGCACUGCUGCUUUCCACUGCUCUCCCUAGACUGCAGCCAGGAGGCUGCCUCUGCCCUGCCAGGCGCACACACCAAGAAAGGCCAUGUGGGCACACAGCAAGAUGGUGCCUGUCUGCAAACUAGGAAAAGAGCCCUCACCAGGAACUGAAACAGCUGGCACCUUGAUGUUGGACUUUCCAGCCUCCACAACUGUGAGAGGACUUGGAAGCUAAGGCCCAGAGAGGAGGAGAAACUUGAUCAAAGUCAAUCAGACAAUGCAGAAUCGAGAAAAGUACCUGGACCUCUAUGCCCAUGCUUCUAGCAGCCAGCCUCCUAAAAUACCUCUAGUUGAAGCCAAAGUUAGAAUCCUUCUACGAAACUACAGGAUUAAAAUGGAAUGGUUACAUGACCCAGGCUUGACCAAUCAGAUCAUCCAAACCCUUUGCCACAGUGAUUGGUCCAGGGAUACAUGCAUGAGCCAGCUCAGGUAAAUGAGACUCAAUUAUAAGAAUUUUGUUAGCGCAAUUGGGAAAAAGAAGUUUUCUUUCCAUGAGAACUAUCAGCUAUAAGAAUGUUGGAUGCUUCCAUCUGCUGGAGUCCAUGAAGAAGGUCCAUGAAAAUGAAGCCAGCACAACAACACAGAGCUAAGACAUACAAAGAGAUGGAGAUUAAAUUGAAUGGAACUUUUAAGCCCCUACAUGCCCUUGAAGCCAGAUAUCCCUGAACUUUUAAUUUAUAUUAGUUGAUAAAGUCCUUCUUUAGCUUAAGCCAAUUUGAAUUAGAGUAUUUUUCACUUGGGGUCCAAAAGAGCUCUCAAUACAAAAGUCUGACUGAGUGCAUGAUGUGCUGGUUUCAACCUCAAGGGAACAGGGAAAGGGAAAGAAAGAGGCAGAGGUUGUGAACAGGACAGUAGAAGGUGGUCAGGAGACAAAUAUCUGGACUCAACUUUGUCCCUACUGUGUGGCCUUGAAUAGUGAGUUAACCACUCCGAGCCUCAGUUUCCCCAUCUGGAAAAAAAAGUUAGUGGACAGUCACUAGUUCUCAGACAGAACUCUGUAGCAGCGAGAGGGUAAUGGGGAUUGAGAGUCCCAGACUUGCAUUCUGAGGGACUAGCUCUCCUCUUAUCUAUAUCAUAUACCAGGUUUUCUUGUAAGGUUUUGUUAGAAUGGGUCUCACUGUUAAAAUGGAUUAGCUGAUCAUUUCAGUUCUAUUUAUAUUAAAGUCUAAAUUGAAUCAAGGCUCAGCUGGGGCCCAGUAAGAAUGUAGUGCCUGGUUAAUAAUAUUUUCUACUCUAUGAUAGGAGUUGGCCAGAAGCCAAGGUCAAAAACUCAAUCCCUGGAGGGUUUAUUUGCUUUCUGCAGACAUAAAAAAUUGUUAAUAACAAUGAUCUGCAUCCCCAAUCUUGAGAGCUGUCUUAGAGAUGUGGGUCAUUGAUCACAGAAGGGGCUGGGAAAAGGAAUGUGGAUGAUUCCAAAUAGUCAUUAGCUCUGCCUUAAAUGCCAAUACAAACACUACUGCCAAUGCUCAAGGCAAGCAACCUCUUCAUAGCUAGAACACAGAGGGUGGUGUGCUUGAAGGCUUUUGUUUCUCCUCAAGACAGUGUAGAAAAAGCUGAGAAAACAAAGAGCACUUGUUUCACAAUUAACUGCACAACACCUGAUGUAUAUCCACAGUCCUCUAAAUUAAUAUGGAUUCGCUUUUCUUUAUAAAGACAACAUACACAUUGUAGUGGAAAUCGGAUGGGAGGAUAAUUUUUAUGAAAGCAUAUAACAGUAUUUUUAUAAAAUAUAAAUUAUCAUUACAGUAAAAUAUAUUAACUUCAAGGCAAGUUUUGACACUGUAUGCAAGUUUAAAGUAUUUCAAAUUUUUAAAAAGUGUAUCUUAACAAAUAAAUUUUAGCACCAAUUGCCAGAAUUGUUGUCCACCACUAUAGUCAAAACAAUUUUCUUUUCUUUAUUUCAACUAAAAAUUGUGAAUGGGACUAAAGUCUUUAUGCAAAUAUAUACUCCAAUAAUAAUAUUAAUCUUGCCAACAGUAGCUGAAUAUUUAAUUAACUUUAACAAACAUGUUGAAAGAUAAUAAACUAAAAAAACUAUUUUUCCUUAUAGUCUCUGUAUAACUAGGUGCUUUCUCAUUAGAAAGCUUAUUUUUUCAAAAGUAUAUAUAACAUAGGUAAUUUAUAUUAAUAAAAAAUAAAAAGUUGCAAAUUUCUUGAGGUGUAAUUUCUCAUGUUGAUUAACUUCUGAUCUCUAUCAUUUUGCUUACAUGUACCAUAGAUACACAAAAACCAGAUGGGGGGCAGGGUAAUCAAUCUUAGGAGAGGGCAAUAGUUAAGUCAGACUAGGCAGAGUCAAGACAAGAGGCAGGCAGAGGGUUAGUUGAGGGCAAGUUAUGAAUGCCUCAGAACACAUCUCAGGAUUUGGAAACAAGCAGUAGUCUGGUCAAAUCCAAACUGGGAAACACAGAUGGCG
RNAcentral lists this long non-coding RNA (3506 nucleotides) under Homo sapiens (human). Its description in RNAcentral is "HSALNT0149990". The record is from RNAcentral. Lineage: Eukaryota; Metazoa; Chordata; Mammalia; Primates; Hominidae.